GACGAACGCUGGCGGCGUGCUUAACACAUGCAAGUCGAACGAAGAGCGAUGGAAGCUUGCUUCUAUCAAUCUUAGUGGCGAACGGGUGAGUAACGCGUAAUCAACCUGCCCUUCAGAGGGGGACAACAGUUGGAAACGACUGCUAAUACCGCAUACGAUCUAACCUCGGCAUCGAGGAUAGAUGAAAGGUGGCCUCUACAUGUAAGCUAUCACUGAAGGAGGGGAUUGCGUCUGAUUAGCUAGUUGGAGGGGUAACGGCCCACCAAGGCGAUGAUCAGUAGCCGGUCUGAGAGGAUGAACGGCCACAUUGGGACUGAGACACGGCCCAGACUCCCACGGGAGGCAGCAGUGGGGAAUCUUCCGCAAUGGACGAAAGUCUGACGGAGCAACGCCGCGUGAGUGAUGACGGCCUUCGGGUUGUAAAGCUCUGUUAAUCGGGACGAAAAGCCUUCUUGCGAAUAGUGAGAAGGAUUGA
This 475-nucleotide ribosomal RNA is filed under the name Veillonella parvula. RNAcentral describes it as "bacterial SSU rRNA". It matches the Rfam family "Bacterial small subunit ribosomal RNA", at positions 28 to 472 of the family's 1533-position model. Lineage: Bacteria; Bacillati; Bacillota; Negativicutes; Veillonellales; Veillonellaceae. The record is from RNAcentral.